UAGGGAAUUUUGGGCAAUGGGCGAAAGCCUGACCCAGCAACGCCGCGUGAAGGAUGAAGUAUUUCGGUAUGUAAACUUCGAAAGAAUAGGAAGAAUAAAUGACGGUACUAUUUAUAAGGUCCGGCUAACUACGUGCCAGCAGCCGCGGUAAUACGUAGGGACCAAGCGUUGUUCGGAUUUACUGGGCGUAAAGGGCGCGUAGGCGGCAAUUCAAGUCAUCUGUGAAAUCUCCGGGCUUAACUCGGAACGGUCAGAUGAUACUGCUUUGCUAGAGUGCAGAAGGGGCAAUCGGAAUUCUUGGUGUAGCGGUGAAAUGCGUAGAUAUCAAGAGGAACACCUGAGGUGAAGACGGGUUGCUGGGCUGACACUGACGCUGAGGCGCGAAAGCCAGGGGAGCAAACGGGAUUAGAUACCCACGUAGUCCCUGAGCGGGCUGGCAAGGCGCAU
Molecule: ribosomal RNA, 447 nt
Filed under: uncultured bacterium
Lineage: Bacteria
Description: bacterial SSU rRNA
Rfam family: Bacterial small subunit ribosomal RNA
Source: RNAcentral